RNAcentral lists this long non-coding RNA (651 nucleotides) under Marmota monax (woodchuck). The record is from RNAcentral. Lineage: Eukaryota; Metazoa; Chordata; Mammalia; Rodentia; Sciuridae.
GCGAGAAGUUGGCCACAAGGAAAUUCACGUGGUUGGGUUCACAGUUUCACUUGCCGUGUGUGGCAUUUCACUGCCUGGUACGUAGAAGAUUAACUGUUAGUCAUAUGGGAACUGUGGGAAUCCUCUUCCCCCAACUAGCAUUGUGAUUUGGCCAUUUGUGUUUGGUAAUAGCCCCAUAUAAUAUCCCUGUGUCCGACCUUCUUGCCCUUUUCAGUGACAUGGGCUACUUUGGGUGAAAUUACAGGCUUAUAUGAAUUGCAACUAACUGGUAGAAACCUUUGAAAAAAUAAUUAACACCUAUAUGAGGAUUUUGCAAUUGUGAGGUAUGAUAAGAAGAAUAGGCAAAUGUGUGGCUUUAAACAUAGGUGAGCGUCCAUGGCACAGUAAGAAGUCUGUUUCCUCUCCCUGGGAAAACACAUUCCAGCCACUGACUUAAUUUCUGUUCUUGUUGCUGACUUGCCGCCCUACUCCCCCUGUAAGUAAUGUGACAGGUCUGAACAUAAUUCUUUUUUGUAGUCCACUGACUCUUGUAAAUAAUGCAGUGAUUAUAAGGUUUCCUGAAUACAAUUUUCAAAAUGGUAGUAAUAACCACAUUGCACCUACCUGCUAUACUUGGGUAACCACUUCUGUUGCUCAAUUUACUUAAUAUUG